Molecule: ribosomal RNA, 502 nt
Filed under: uncultured bacterium
Lineage: Bacteria
Description: partial 16S ribosomal RNA
Rfam family: Bacterial small subunit ribosomal RNA
Source: RNAcentral
AUUGAACGCUGGCGGAAUGCUUUACACAUGCAAGUCGAACGGCAGCACGGGUGCUUGCACCUGGUGGCGAGUGGCGAACGGGUGAGUAACAUAUCGGAACGUACCCAGUAAUGGGGGAUAACUAACCGAAAGGUUAGCUAAUACCGCAUACGCCCUGAGGGGGAAAGCGGGGGAUCGAAAGACCUCGCGCUAUUGGAGCGGCCGAUAUCUGAUUAGCUAGUUGGUGAGGUAAAGGCUCACCAAGGCGACGAUCAGUAGCAGGUCUGAGAGGAUGAUCUGCCACACUGGAACUGAGACACGGUCCAGAUUCCUACGGGAGGCAGCAGUGGGGAAUUUUGGACAAUGGGGGAAACCCUGAUCCAGCCAUUCCGCGUGAGUGAAGAAGGCCUUCGGGUUGUAAAGCUCUUUCGGCAGGGAAGAAACGGUUCUGGAUAAUACCCGGAGCUAAUGACGGUACCUGAAGAAGAAGCACCGGCUAACUACGUGCCAGCCGCCGCAGUAA